This 28-nucleotide non-coding RNA is filed under the name Cricetulus griseus (Chinese hamster). The record is from RNAcentral. Lineage: Eukaryota; Metazoa; Chordata; Mammalia; Rodentia; Cricetidae.
AUAAGUAUAUGAUUGUAUGAAUAUUUAU